Molecule: long non-coding RNA, 232 nt
Filed under: Elaeis guineensis (African oil palm)
Lineage: Eukaryota; Viridiplantae; Streptophyta; Magnoliopsida; Arecales; Arecaceae
Description: long non-coding RNA (EGUI_LNC022925)
Source: RNAcentral
GGAAGGGUUAUUUCCCAAGAUGAAAGGUUUGGAUGGUAGACUUUCUGAUCCAACUUCUGUUGGAUCCAGCCUUAAAGGAAGAAAGGCUAGAAGGUGUGACGGUUAGGCAAUAAAGUUCUUUGAGGAAGAUGGACAACAAGAGACAGGUUUGGCAUGCUGAAGGAGAGAUCACCCAAGGUAUCAUGGUCGAGAUGGGGCUGAAGAAGCAACUAUUUAGCCUUCGGAUGCAGGA